GUGCUCAUUUCAGCACACAUAUGCCAACAUUGGAGUAAUACAGAGAUGAUUAGCAUGGUCCCCGAACAAUGUAACAUGCAAAUACUGAAGCACUCCAUGUUUUU
Molecule: small nuclear RNA, 104 nt
Organism: Octodon degus (degu)
Lineage: Eukaryota; Metazoa; Chordata; Mammalia; Rodentia; Octodontidae
Source: Ensembl